GUGGGGAAUUUUGGACAAUGGGCGCAAGCCUGAUCCAGCAAUGCCGCGUGCAGGAAGAAGGCCUUCGGGUUGUAAGCUGCUUUUGUACGGAACGAAACGGUCCGGGCUAAUACCCUGGGCUAAUGACGGUACCGUAAGAAUAAGCACCGGCUAACUACGUGCCAGCAGCCGCGGUAAUACGUAGGGUGCAAGCGUUAAUCGGAAUUACUGGGCGUAAAGCGUGCGCAGGCGGUUUUGUAAGACAGGCGUGAAAUCCCCGGGCUCAACCUGGGAAUUGCGCUUGUGACUGCAAGGCUGGAGUGCGGCAGAGGGGGAUGGAAUUCCGCGUGUAGCAGUGAAAUGCGUAGAUAUGCGGAGGAACACCGAUGGCGAAGGCAAUCCCCUGGGCCUGCACUGACGCUCAUGCACGAAAGCGUGGGGAGCAAACAGGAUUAGAUACCCUUGUAGUCC
RNAcentral lists this ribosomal RNA (450 nucleotides) under uncultured bacterium. RNAcentral's name for it is "partial 16S ribosomal RNA". It matches the Rfam family "Bacterial small subunit ribosomal RNA", at positions 354 to 796 of the family's 1533-position model. The record is from RNAcentral.